RNAcentral lists this ribosomal RNA (478 nucleotides) under uncultured bacterium. Its description in RNAcentral is "partial 16S ribosomal RNA". It matches the Rfam family "Bacterial small subunit ribosomal RNA", at positions 28 to 523 of the family's 1533-position model. The record is from RNAcentral.
GACGAACGCUGGCGGCGUGCUUAACACAUGCAAGUCGAGCGAUGAAGUUCCUUCGGGAAUGGAUUAGCGGCGGACGGGUGAGUAACACGUGGGUAACCUGCCUCAUAGAGGGGAAUAGCCUUUCGAAAGGAAGAUUAAUACCGCAUAAGAUUGUAGUAUCGCAUGAUACAGCAAUUAAAGGAGUAAUCCGCUAUGAGAUGGACCCGCGUCGCAUUAGCUAGUUGGUGAGGUAACGGCUCACCAAGGCGACGAUGCGUAGCCGACCUGAGAGGGUGAUCGGCCACAUUGGGACUGAGACACGGCCCAGACUCCUACGGGAGGCAGCAGUGGGGAAUAUUGCACAAUGGGGGAAACCCUGGUGCAGCAACGCCGCGUGAGUGAUAACGGUCUUCGGAUUGUAAAACUCUGUCUUCAGGGACGAUAAUGACGGUACCUGAGGAGGAAGCCACGGCUAACUACGUGCCAGCCGCCGCAGUAA